Non-coding RNA from Triticum aestivum (bread wheat), 127 nucleotides. Lineage: Eukaryota; Viridiplantae; Streptophyta; Magnoliopsida; Poales; Poaceae. The record is from Rfam.
AAAAUACUCCCUCCGUUCGGAAUUAUUUGUCGCAGAAAUGGAUGUAUCUAGACGUAUUUUAGUUCUAAAUACAUCCAUUGAUACAUCCAUUUCCGAGACAAGUAAUUCCGAACGGAGGGAGUAAACG